This 491-nucleotide ribosomal RNA is filed under the name uncultured bacterium. RNAcentral describes it as "bacterial SSU rRNA". It matches the Rfam family "Bacterial small subunit ribosomal RNA", at positions 15 to 518 of the family's 1533-position model. The record is from RNAcentral.
GAUCAUGGCUCAGAACGAACGCUGGUGGCGUGUCUUAUACAUGCAAGUCGAGCGAGGCAGCAAUGCCUAGCGGCGAACGGGUGAGUAACGCGUAAGCAAUCUGCCCCAUAUCAGGAAAUACCCGUGCCAACGCGCGGUUAAUGUCCAGGAGCGUGGCCUUCCGCAUGGGAGGUUGACAAGAGAUUUAUCGGUAUGGGAUGAGCUUGCGUCCGAUUAGCUAGUUGGCGGGGCAACGGCCCACCAAGGCGACGAUCGGUAGCCGGCCUGAGAGGGUGAUCGGCCACAUUGGGACUGAGAUACGGCCCAGACUCCUACGGGAGGCAGCAGUAGGGAAUAUUGCACAAUGGGGGAAACCCUGAUGCAGCAACGCCACGUGUUGGGAAGAAGCAUUUCGGUGUGUAAACCACUGUCGUGAGGGAAUAAGGCGUCUUCUCGGAGACGUUGAAUGUACCUCGAAAGGAAGCACCGGCAAACUUCGUGCCAGCAGCAGC